GUGAGUAACCUGCCCUUGACUCUGGGAUAAGCCUGGGAAACUGGGUCUAAUACCGGAUAUGACUUCUCAUCGCAUGGUGGGGGGUGGAAAGCUUUUGUGGUUUUGGAUGGACUCGCGGCCUAUCAGCUUGUUGGUGGGGUAAUGGCCUACCAAGGCGACGACGGGUAGCCGGCCUGAGAGGGUGACCGGCCACACUGGGACUGAGACACGGCCCAGACUCCUACGGGAGGCAGCAGUGGGGAAUAUUGCACAAUGGGCGCAAGCCUGAUGCAGCGACGCCGCGUGAGGGAUGACGGCCUUCGGGUUGUAAACCUCUUUCAGUAGGGAAGAAGCCCUCUUUUGGGGGUGACGGUACUUGCAGAAGAAGCGCCGGCUAACUACGUGCCAGCAGCCGCGGUAAUACGUAGGGCGCAAGCGUUAUCCGGAAUUAUUGGGCGUAAAGAGCUCGUAGGCGGUUUGUC
RNAcentral lists this ribosomal RNA (461 nucleotides) under Arthrobacter sp. hata67. RNAcentral's name for it is "bacterial SSU rRNA". It matches the Rfam family "Bacterial small subunit ribosomal RNA", at positions 117 to 584 of the family's 1533-position model. Lineage: Bacteria; Bacillati; Actinomycetota; Actinomycetes; Micrococcales; Micrococcaceae. The record is from RNAcentral.